RNA transcript from Hordeum vulgare subsp. vulgare (domesticated barley), 2319 nucleotides. It is a transcript of the gene named protein CLT1, chloroplastic-like, with no coding region annotated. The transcript has 7 exons. Lineage: Eukaryota; Viridiplantae; Streptophyta; Magnoliopsida; Poales; Poaceae. The record is from RefSeq and is a predicted model, not a curated record.
CCAGAUCCGCCCCAACCCUAGCGUCGCCGUCGCCCCCCUCCCCGGCCCCACCGCCGCCGCCGCCAUUACAGGGUGAUCGAGGAGGGAGAGGGGGAGAAGCGCGGCCGAUCGCUCGGUCAGGGUGGGGACCAAGGAGUGGAGGAUGUCGAGGAGGGCGGUGAAUCCCGGCCGCCGGGCCUCGGACGGGGGCCUGCCCACCGUCGCCAGCCUGCUCCACCACAAGUCCCGCUCGCCGUCCGUGCUCACCAUUGCCCUGCUCCUGCUGGUAAACCGCCUCUACACCCUCGCACGAGUGCCGGCGCUGCUGCUCAUUGGGAUUCUAGACUCUGACGACGCUUCUGCUGCCGGUUGUUUGUUUGCAAAGGGUUAUGAAACACGUCUACAACUACAUACACAUAUUUUCUGCAAUGUUGUGAUGUCAAAGUGGAAUGCUAGUGCAUGAUUAUGAUAUUCGGUACCUUUGUGUCAACAAAAUUUAACACAAACCUUACUUUUUAUGCAUAGUGGAUCUGGUGCUGGUGAUUCACUACAAAGUACUGGAAUUUUGUGGCCACUGCUAAUGAUAAUAUCAUUCUUUCUACAAGCUGUUGAUACAGUAUUGAAGUAUGAUUGUUGCAGGAAAUAAUAUUUAUAGAUGCUGCGAAGAAUUUGAAGGGUGGCUCAGUUGAUCUUUUUGUCGUCAACUCGUAUGGCUCUGCUUAUCAAGCUAUUUUUAUGUGUCUCUUGUUUCCAUUCUUGUCAAAGUUAUGGGGUAUACCGUUCCAUCUACUGCCAACAUACAUCAGAGAUGGUGCAGCCUGCUUUCUAAAUAUGGGCUCGUUAUCUGCUGAUGAGUACUGCACUCCUCGUGUUAUCAAGUCACUCAAGAAAUAAUCUGCCAGUACUUGCAGUGCCUGAGUUGAUGGUGGUAGGCAACUCUGGCGACAGAGACCCCCAUGCCUGAAGCCUAUUCACUGUAGUCUCUCAUGUAUGGUCAAGCAAUCAUGCAAUUCAGACAAUCACCAUAGUAUCUCGUUUGCUAACUUAAUUGCUAAAAAUAAAUUCUGUUUUGAACCAAUCUGUCUCGAAUUAAAAUCAAGAUAAUUCUGUUAUUUGAUUGACCCAAUCCCAAACGUACUGUUGAAUUCGGCAUGGUUUCUUAGAUAGUAGAUUUUCCGUUAAGGUGUCAGAUGACUAGCUUGAAGAAUACGGAGCCAAAGAAUUAGCUUUGCCUUGUUAAGCUAGCUCCCUUAAUGUGUAAUGUUUAUGUCAUCUCAUGCCAUGACAGUCACUAUUCAAAAUGGGGCAACCAGCAUCAUCCCUCAGUGUGUCAUUUAGUUUGCCAAAUUGCACGGAGUUCGCACCUUAAUCCUUAAACAUCCUGUGUCACAAGUACAUAUGCUAUCAAUAAUACUACAAGUGUCUUAGGUUGCUGCAUGGUCAUGACUGUUUUCUUAGUAUUAGCAUAUUCCUUGCUCCACCGCCCACCUCCUCAACUCCAUCAGGCAAGUACAAAGAAAACCAUCCAUAUAUAGCAUCUCUUCUCUGUUGGCUACCAAGUUGGGGUCAUUGUUGCAACAAGAGUAAAAGUUGUGGAGAUUCAACUAAUCAAGGUUAGCGAGAUAUUGUUAGAAAUAAUCUUAAUCUAGUUACCCACCGUGUUUCUAAAUAUAAGCAUUUUAAGAGGUUUCAAUACGGAUUACAUACUCUAAGAUAUGUGUAUAUACAUCCGCAUGUACGUAGUUCGUAUUGAAAUAUUAAAAAAUGCUUAUAUUUAGAAAUGGAGUGAAUAGUUUCUGUGUCAAACUGCUGCUAUUAAUCGUACGUGUGUUAGUAGCACCCUGAAAUCCAGUGGUUCGUACUAGUUGUAGCUGAGUAGGUUCAUGAUAACAGUGUACACGUACCAAGUUCAGUUUAGUUCUGAGUCUGAGAGAUUUGAUACUCCCUCCGAUUCAUACUAAGUGUCGAUGUACUCCCUCAGUAAGAGAUCUGAACUUCCUGCUAUAUGUUACUACCACUUCUUUUCUGUAAGUGUUAGUACCACUGUCCAUCCAUUUAUUAAUAUCAAUUGUUGUAUUGUAGACCUAAUUGUGUUGGUUCCUCUUUUGCAGAAGCUCAAGUGUGAAGUAUGAAGCCGUGAAGUGUGAACCCAAGUGUGAAGCUGUGAAGUCUUACUCAGUUUAGAGUAGCAUAUUGUAGAACAUAUGUGUUGUAAAGAUUGUAAUAGAUUUAUUUAGUUGUAUAUUUGAUCAAUUUUAUGUGUUCUUAGUUCUAUUUGGAAUUCAUUCUUGGAUUGAAAGUGGUCAAAAAGACAAUAUAUUAGUAUUAAAUUUAGGUUGA